This 532-nucleotide long non-coding RNA is filed under the name Homo sapiens (human). Its description in RNAcentral is "novel transcript". Lineage: Eukaryota; Metazoa; Chordata; Mammalia; Primates; Hominidae. The record is from RNAcentral.
AGAAUGUUGAAUAGCAAUGAUGAAAGAGGAUCUCAUGUAUCCGAGUGGAAACACUUACAUUAAUUGUAAUACAACAUCAGUUGAAAUUGGGACACAGACACAAAGAGAAAACAAUGUCAUGUGAAGACAGAGGCAAAGAGUGGAGUGACAGAUGUACAAGCGAAGAACCUCAAGAGCGCCGGCAGUUACCAGAAGCUUAGAGUUAGGGAAGGAUCAUCAUCUGAAGCAAGUCCUGGCCUGUCAACAUGUUGAUUUCAGACUACUAGACUCCAGAAAAGUAAGAUAAAAAAUCUUUAAUAUUUGAAGGUGCCCAAUUUGUGGUAAUUUGUUCCUGCAGCCUGAGCAAACUAACAAGCUCACUUUCAGUUCAAUUUCAUGGAAGAAUAGAACAAUCUUUUGGUCCCAUAACACAACUCCUCAGUGGAGAACUCUGAGUGAUUUUAAAAAGACAUACCAAAUAUUGUCCCUUUUAUGCUCAAAAUGAUCCAGUAUUUCUAUGUCAUUCUUAAAAUAAAAACUAAUAUAAUGUCUA